GUUAGGUACAAAUUCGUUCAGCCAGUACCAAGGUUUCCGGUUGGACUUUGAGGGCACCACAUUGCCGCCAUCUCCGCCCGUAACCACAACAACCGAGAAGCCUCGCUACAUUUGCCCAAAAUUGAAACUCAACGUCACCAGUGAGACCCGGGAACUGUUAAUCGAAUCACCACGAUUUCCUGGACCCUAUCCGGCUCCAACGUAUUGUACUUGGGAGAUUGACAUGAAUACGCUACCUGGCAAAUCGCUCUAUAUCCACGCUGAGGCGUUCGAUAUUGUAAUGGACCCGAAUAAUUAUUAUGAGGCCGAUGAAAUGGGAAUCAGCGAAUAUACUACAAAUGACGACUACAGAGAUUUUAGUUCCAUAGGAAGCACGGUCCAACGGGCCUACGAGUUGGAGGAAUAGUGACGAUUAGGUUUAUUACAAAAGCUCAACCAACUACCGCUCAAGGUUUCAGACUCCGAUUAAAAGUUUCUGAUUGCGAUGUCAGGGAUGGCUGUUGCAUCGGCACUCCAGAGCAAGAUGUCUGUUUCAAAGAAGAAAUUAUGUGCAACGAAUCGGACUGUUGGCAACGUCGACUGUCACGACGCUUUAGACGAACAGUGUCCAUCUGGUUGUGGAACUCCUGCUUCUUCGCCG
Molecule: long non-coding RNA, 640 nt
Organism: Paramacrobiotus metropolitanus
Lineage: Eukaryota; Metazoa; Tardigrada; Eutardigrada; Parachela; Macrobiotidae
Exons: 6
Source: RefSeq, a predicted model, not a curated record